Molecule: ribosomal RNA, 255 nt
Filed under: uncultured bacterium
Lineage: Bacteria
Description: partial 16S ribosomal RNA
Rfam family: Bacterial small subunit ribosomal RNA
Source: RNAcentral
UACGAGGGGUGCAGGCGUUGCUCGGAAUUAUUGGGCGUAAAGGGUAGGUAGGUGGUCUCGUUUGUCUGGGGUGAAAGCCUUGAGCUUAACUCAAGAAGUGCCCUAGAAACGGCGAGACUAGAGUCUUGGAGAGGGUCGUGGAAUUCCCGGUGUAGCGGUGAAAUGCGGCAGAUAUCGGGAAGAACACCCGUGGCGAAAGGCGGCACUCUGGGACGGUACUGACGCUGAGACGCGAAAGCGUGGGGAGCGAACAGG